This 393-nucleotide ribosomal RNA is filed under the name uncultured bacterium. Its description in RNAcentral is "partial 16S ribosomal RNA". It matches the Rfam family "Bacterial small subunit ribosomal RNA", at positions 338 to 729 of the family's 1533-position model. The record is from RNAcentral.
CCUACGGGAGGCAGCAGUGAGGAAUAUUGGUCAAUGGACGAGAGUCCGAACCAGCCAAGUCGCGUGAAGGAUGACUGCCCUAUGGGUUGUAAACCUCUUUUAUAAAGGAAUAAAACGAGGCACGCGUGCCUUUUCGCAUGUACCCUAUGAAUAAGCAUCGGCUAACUCCGUGCCAGCAGCCGCGGUAAUACGGAGGAUGCGAGCGUUAUCCGGAUUUAUUGGGUUUAAAGGGUGCGUGGGCGGGUGGUUAAGUCAGUGGUAAAAGUUGGGGGCUCAACCUGUAAAUGCCAUUGAUAAUGGGUGUCUUGAGUACAGUAGAAGUAUGCGGAAUGCGUGGUGUAGCGGUGAAAUGCUUAGAUAUCACGAAGAACCCCGAUUGCGAAGGCAGCAUAC